UUUGCAAUGGACCAAGUAGAAUACUCAUCUUGGUGUGAGAACAAGCCCUUGGAUUUUUCCUUUAUAAUGUCAAGAAUAUAGUUAGUUACUUAUAUUUAUCCGACAACUUUGAGAUUAAAACAUAUUGAUUUGUCCAACCAAUUCUGUAAGAAUGACAUAGACUACUUCCUACAGCUGAAGUAGUGGAGUCUUUACAUAUUCCCAAGGAUGUGAGACGGGUGUUGUUCAGAAACCUACAUAUUGCCAGAUUUCACAUCUUUUCAUUCUCAUAGAAUGUCUAGGCUCAAGAAAUGGACACUCCGGUAAAGCUGCAGGAAAUUAUUCUUGUUGAGGGCUUGAAACUCGAAAAUGUACCCGCAAGAGUAUGUACAGUCCAUGUCUACCUUUGAAUUGCUUGGUGCAAAAGGAUCGCCUAUAAGAUGCAUCCUCAUCAAGUAACUUCGCCAAGUGAGUUCUGUUCUUUUUCAAGGGAAACAACUUGACAACGAUGGUUGUAUCUACGAUCAUCAUUAUCAUCGUCACAAGAGAUCGACUUGUCCCCGAUUUGGUUACCAUAGAGGGGAAUAGAAGUUAUCAAAAGUGCCGAGUAAGAAAGGCAUUGCACGCACGGUCUCCUCAGAAUUCAGAUUUACUUCAAGGGGACACGUUUUGCAGAGAAUGCGGAACUUUAGCCAUCACUUGAAUAUGUAAUAUUACUAUAGGCCAAGCAGAGCUAUGGUUAUUUUUACAAAAAUAAUGUUACGCUUUCAAAAUAAGACUCGUCUGUAAUGUUUCUCAUGUUUCUUCUUUUCUAUUACUAAAGAGCUGCUGGGUAUUCGGUUCCUUUGAACAUAUACUUGACGAGGCCCACCAAAAUUGGUUACCUUCACUAGCCCUGGAAUUCUUGUUAGUUGCUUCAUUGGCAAUAUUCUCAGGGGUUUCUUUUUGCAUGGAAGACAAUAAUAUACAAUUUGUAUAAGUGACAUAUACGUAUUGUAAAAUGUACAGUACAUGGAAGAAAUGGAAUCCUUAAAACAGCAAAUACGCGGACACUCUAAAAGGAACACUAAAAUGCACUUUGCCCGACAAGAAGUACCCCUCUCGUUCUAGCAUAGAGCGCAAACUUCAUUCUUCCAAUGAAAAUUUAUACAAGUCUUCCAAAAUUGCAGUACCAUAAGACGCGACCCCUUUUUUUAGGAAAGGAAAGCAUCAGCUUGCUUCCAACAACGGGCAAAAAUAGCAUCAACAAGUCA
Molecule: long non-coding RNA, 1232 nt
Organism: Syzygium oleosum
Lineage: Eukaryota; Viridiplantae; Streptophyta; Magnoliopsida; Myrtales; Myrtaceae
Exons: 3
Source: RefSeq, a predicted model, not a curated record